RNAcentral lists this ribosomal RNA (497 nucleotides) under uncultured bacterium. RNAcentral describes it as "partial 16S ribosomal RNA". It matches the Rfam family "Bacterial small subunit ribosomal RNA", at positions 28 to 507 of the family's 1533-position model. The record is from RNAcentral.
GAUGAACGCUGGCGGCGUGCCUAAUACAUGCAAGUCGAGCGAACAGACGAGGAGCUUGCUCCUCUGACGUUAGCGGCGGACGGGUGAGUAACACGUGGAUAACCUACCUAUAAGACUGGGAUAACUUCGGGAAACCGGAGCUACUACCGGAUAAUAUAUUGAACCGCAUGGUUCAAUAGUGAAAGACGGUUUUGCUGUCACUUAUAGAUGGAUCCGCGCCGCAUUAGCUAGUUGGUAAGGUAACGGCUUACCAAGGCAACGAUGCGUAGCCGACCUGAGAGGGUGAUCGGCCACACUGGAACUGAGACACGGUCCAGACUCCUACGGGAGGCAGCAGUCGGGAAUCUUCCGCAAUGCGCGAACGCCUGACGGAGCAACGCCGCGUGAGUGAUGAAGGUCUUCGGAUCGUAAACCUCUGUUAUUAGGGAAGAACAAAUGUGUAAGUAACUAUGCACGUCUUGACGGUACCUUAUCAGAAAGCCAGGGCUAACUACGUG